RNAcentral lists this non-coding RNA (31 nucleotides) under Rattus norvegicus (Norway rat). The record is from RNAcentral. Lineage: Eukaryota; Metazoa; Chordata; Mammalia; Rodentia; Muridae.
UCUGAGGUGUUGCCUUGAGGAACAACGUCAG